Molecule: ribosomal RNA, 466 nt
Filed under: Saccharomyces cerevisiae (brewer's yeast)
Lineage: Eukaryota; Fungi; Ascomycota; Saccharomycetes; Saccharomycetales; Saccharomycetaceae
Description: eukaryotic LSU rRNA
Rfam family: Eukaryotic large subunit ribosomal RNA
Source: RNAcentral
CGAGUGAGCGGCAAAAGCUCAAAUUUGAAAUCUGGUACCUUCGGUGCCCGAGUUGUAAUUUGGAGAGGGCAACUUUGGGGCCGUUCCUUGUCUAUGUUCCUUGGAACAGGACGUCAUGGAGGGUGAGAAUCCCGUGUGGCGAGGAGUGCGGUUCUUUGUAAAGUGCCUUCGAAGAGUCGAGUUGUUUGGGAAUGCAGCUCUAAGUGGGUGGUAAAUUCCAUCUAAAGCUAAAUAUUGGCGAGAGACCGAUAGCGAACAAGUACAGUGAUGGAAAGAUGAAAAGAACUUUGAAAAGAGAGUGAAAAAGUACGUGAAAUUGUUGAAAGGGAAGGGCAUUUGAUCAGACAUGGUGUUUUGUGCCCUCUGCUCCUUGUGGGUAGGGGAAUCUCGCAUUUCACUGGGCCAGCAUCAGUUUUGGUGGCAGGAUAAAUCCAUAGGAAUGUAGCUUGCCUCGGUAAGUAUUAUA